This is a long non-coding RNA of Parus major (Great Tit), 583 nucleotides long. RefSeq lists it as uncharacterized. NCBI's taxonomy places the organism in Eukaryota, Metazoa, Chordata, Aves, Passeriformes, Paridae. The record is from RefSeq and is a predicted model, not a curated record. The transcript is spliced from 2 exons.
CGCCCGGCUCUGCCGCCGCUCCGCUCCGCCAACCGCGCCUGCACGGCCAGCCGCUUGAUUUUGACCUGUUCUCCAGUUGCUCCGUGCUUCCCGGCAGGAAUUUCCCUGGGAAGCGGCGUGGGGGAGGGAUUGCCGCUUGGGUUCGCCCUGGCGAGCGAGGGUGGAAGUCACAUCCGCGAACAAGUGACAGGCACGGGGGCUUGCGGUGCGAACACAGGCGUGUGCCCUCCGUGCAGGGUUUGUUGCUGUCCUGUCGCCUGGCUGGCCUCGCUGCGCUCCCUGUGAGGGCCGAGAACAGAGGGUGGAGAAAAGGGAAGUUCAGCAGUGGGACGGGAAUGAGAGAGGAAACUCCACAAGUGCGACCUGCUGGGCUGAAACGCUGAGUUGUGAAAGCUCAGCUCACACUUCCCAGAUCGGGAUAAAUCCCUCUCAUGGAGAGGGGGAGGAGCUGGGCUUCUGAGAACCCUCCUGGAAAAGGGAUCUGUUCAAACAAGACUUGAAAAGUCUGGCUGGGAAGCAAAUGUAAAUAGAAACCUGCGGCUGAGACUUGCAAGGGAUGUUUUAAUAAAUAAAUUCAUUUGGA